UAUUAUUGAGUUAUUAAGCAGGGU
Molecule: non-coding RNA, 24 nt
Filed under: Arabidopsis thaliana (thale cress)
Lineage: Eukaryota; Viridiplantae; Streptophyta; Magnoliopsida; Brassicales; Brassicaceae
Source: RNAcentral